RNAcentral lists this ribosomal RNA (469 nucleotides) under uncultured bacterium. RNAcentral's name for it is "bacterial SSU rRNA". It matches the Rfam family "Bacterial small subunit ribosomal RNA", at positions 328 to 794 of the family's 1533-position model. The record is from RNAcentral.
CGCCCAGACUCCUACGGGAGGCAGCAGUGAGGAAUAUUGGUCAAUGGUCGCGAGACUGAACCAGCCAAGUAGCGUGCAGGAUGACGGCCCUAUGGGUUGUAAACUGCUUUUAUGCGGGGAUAAAAUGCGUCACGUGUGAUGUUUUGUAGGUACCGCAUGAAUAAGGACCGGCUAAUUCCGUGCCAGCAGCCGCGGUAAUACGGAAGGUCCGGGCGUUAUCCGGAUUUAUUGGGUUUAAAGGGAGCGUAGAUGGGUUGUUAAGUCAGUUGUGAAAGUUUGCGGCUCAACCGUAAAAUUGCAAUUGAUACUGGCAGCCUUGAGUACAGUUGAGGUAGGCGGAAUUCGUGGUGUAGCGGUGAAAUGCUUAGAUAUCACGAAGAACUCCGAUUGCGAAGGCAGCGUGCCGUGCCGCCACUGACGCUGAGGCACGAAAGCGCGGGGAUCGAACAGGAUUAGAUACCCGAGUAAU